Non-coding RNA from Ictidomys tridecemlineatus (thirteen-lined ground squirrel), 3293 nucleotides. The record is from RefSeq and is a predicted model, not a curated record. NCBI's taxonomy places the organism in Eukaryota, Metazoa, Chordata, Mammalia, Rodentia, Sciuridae.
AUUUUUUUUCCUACAACAGUUAUAGUUAGUGUGGUAGACUGAAUAAACAUGACCUUUGGACUCAAAUCAGACCAAUAGGUAGUAGUAUCCCAGACAAACUCGUAACCCUCUGAGGCUCUCCUCCCUAAUUCUAAAAAUUAUGCAUUACCCAAAGCAUCUUGCAAGGUAUUAUGAGGAAUAGCAGAAAUGGCAAAUGUAAACCAUAGAUCCUGGCAGUUAGUAUACACUUGUCACAGUCAAGUUCCCUGGAAAAGCAGAUGCUAAGAUUGGGAACAGAAUGCAAGAUGUUUAUUAAGGAAUGCCAUUGGGAUUAAUACUCAUAGAAGGAAAAGAAAGCAAGCAGGAUUGGGCAGAGGGAGAAAUUAAACAGCAAUGUGAGCCUAACAGCAGUCGCAGCCUACCUCCAAGGACAGCUCUAGCACUACAAUGGCUUUCAGGGCUCUCUGAGUUUGGCCAGGGAUAUCCAGGCCUUAGGAACCCCACACUUAUUAAAUAUUAGAUAGAUACCAUCCAGGAAGGGGCAUGAACUUGAGCAAGGUGGAAGAAAUCCCUACAGGUGCUGACAGGUUCUCCUGAACCUCCAGGAGUCAGACUGAAGGAGCAUUUGGAGGACACAUUUAUGUGUCCACCACACCCUACCCCUCUCACCAAUGCUUCAUACGUAUUCAAGGAGUAACAUUCCAGGAUUCCAGUGGCCUCUCUCUUCCUAGGAAAAAUCCAGAAAAGAAAGAUUCUCCUUUCCCCAGUUACUCCCUGAUUCAGUGACCUGGAUCCACAUCCCUGAGUUCCUGACCACAGUACCUCUUUCAGGAUGCACUUGCUCAUUUACAACAAAUAUUGGACAAAGAAAUGUCAAGACGCACCCAAAGAUCAACCAAGUGAUUUGAGGAAUAUGUACAAUACUCUGCAGACUAUUACUCAACUGGAACUUCCGGGGAUUUUUAUCACAACUCAACUUGGAUAAUUUGCUUUGGGGAAGAAGAUCACAGAGGUUGAAGUCCAGUCACAUCACAUUUUGUUAAAGAUUGCAUCUUAUCAACAUGACUUAUCACUAUUGCUCUUAACUUCAAUGACCUACCUAGCUGGAGAAAUCAUCAGAGAUGAUUUCUCUGAUGUGAGUUCCUCUUUUUGUCCUCUUUUCAAACUCUAUCUCCUUGAGAGUAGCAUAGCUGCAUAAAUGAUUCAGAAUUUUUCUUCAUGAGACAUUUCUGUCUUAUUUAUUAAUUUAUUCAAUAUUUAUUGUUAUCAUUAUAUACUAGUGGAUAUUAAUUUUGUUGCUCAGCUCAUUCUAGCUCUGAUCAUUUGGAUCCAUUUGGACAUCCCCCAUCACCGUGGGGUUUUGUUUGUUUCUUUGGGCACUUUCUAUAUUUUAGGUACUAGAGAUGCUUUGGGUAGUUUUGCCUAGUCUUAACAUCAUCCAUCUCUCCUAAGAGCCCUGAUUCCUUUGAUUGGAGAAUAAUACUAGAAACCAACAUUAAGUGGUAGCUGUGCUUGUAAUAAUCAGAGUGCUGUUGCCUCUAGGUUUUCUUAGCUAAUAGAUAAAAGGCAUAUAUACAUGUAAUUUGUGAGUAUAUAAAUAUCUAUAAAUAUCUUUUUAUAUAACCCAUCUGUUUCUAUAUUAAGCCAAACAUGAGUUCAUACUGAUGUCUCUUAAAUCCAAUCUGCUAUGACUUGGAACAAUCUAGCUUUCUUACUUUUCUAUAACUUUUCUUUAAAAUAAUGAGAAAUCUGACUCCACCAUCCAUUUACUCUAAUUCUCAAGUUCCAGCAUCCAUGUAUUCUGGUUUCAGAAUUGUUAGCCCAUAUCCUCGGAAAAACAACAAGAUUACAGUGUUUAUGAACAGUAGUCUUACAGACACCACUCAUUUCAAAGUGUCUUAGGUAAACACCUUAUUUCUCUGUAUCUUUUCUUCUUAUCCUAUUUGUGAUGCUAGCGUUGAACCUUAUGAACAUUUUCCCUCUAUCAGCUGACACAAUAUGGAUAUGCAGCUUUGUCAGCAGAGGAUACUACCAUGAAAUUCGAGGGAUGUUAAAAAAAAAAAAGGACUUCUUUUUCUGGUCCUAAUGUGCUCUUCCCUGAUUGCUCCUGUGAUAGUGUGGCAGCCAGAAGAUUGCAGGAUGCCCAUUGAUGCCAUACUCUUUAAACUCUCUGAACUUUCUGGAAGGUUCUGUCAACAGGGCCAGCCUCAUGAAAACUCUAGUGCAGUUACAAAGGACUUCACUCUGAGAACUGGCCAUGUGCUUCAUGUAAUACUUUGUUAAUACUGUCUUGAAAUUCUUAAUAAUUUUUUUGACUUUGUAUUUAUGCUUUGUAAGUAAAGCCCAAUGGAACAGUGGAACAUGUAUGAGCAGAGGAGAUAACCAGAUGAUAGUGCACACACAGGCUCAGGUCUGCAUGCACAUCAGACAAUGGGUAGUAUAAGUAUACCUUGUACACAUAGGAAUUUAUAGAGUAGUCAGAGAUCCUGAACACCUCAAACGAGUGGCCUGGGCUGGGAUAGUAGCAACAAGAGAAGCAGCAAUGGUGGCAGCCACGGUCUGGAAAAGCAAAGAGACUCCCCAUGGAUGCAAUACUAGAGAUAAGAGCAUUGAAACUGUGGUAGAGAUCAGCUUGCUCUCCAUAUCCAGAGCGUGUGCCUGUGACCUCAGCACAAAUACUAACCUGAGCAUCAGAACAGGAAAGGGUGGUAAACAUUUUUAGUAAAUAAAACAUAAACAUCACAAAGCAUUUUGGACAAUUGUUAGAAUUUUUUAAAGAGUUUAUAAUCCUUGGUUUUUAAAAGAUUGGAAAGUAAAUAUAGGCUUAAAGUAGAAAUUAAACUCAAAGAUCAUUGCAUUCAGUGGAAAAAAAAAUAGUAUUAUUAUAUGUACUUUCCAAAGAACCAAUUACUAACAAGAAGGACAAUUUUUAAAUAAGUGUUUUCUGAUUAUUGAAAAUAUAGUAGUAGAAUACAUGGCAGGCAUUUUGAAUCAUACAUAAAUCAAGAAGUCAUUUUAGUUUCUUGUACAAACGCCACAAAUUACAGGAAAUGUCAGAAAAAGCAUUAACAUGCCAUUUAUAAAUUUACAUUUAAAAUUAAAUUAAGACCAACAAAAUUAUUUAUAUAAAGAGUUAAAUCUUUUUAGAAAAAAGAUUCAGAAACACACUCUAGAUGUACUAAAAUUUAUAUUUCAAAAUAAUUUGUCAGGAAUUUAUCCCAAUGUUGUCACAGUCUAUAUACUACUAAAAGCUCCUUUAACAGUUGUAUAUGCAGAAAGAUCCUUCUUAAAAAUAAAAAUUAUUUAUGAUUUUA